CGAAGUGCUGACACCUGUUGAUCGUUGCAGUUCCUGUCUGGGGGAACUUUUAAAAAGCAGGGCUGGGAAGUUGCAGGGGUGGUGGCAGCAGCUUCACGCUACUUUAAAAUAGGUGCGUUUGAUCAGCCUUCCCCCGCAUUCAUUUGAAAGGACGCUGCCACAGAUGGGGUUUCCUCUCGCCCCGGUCCUGUGACAAAAAGACCAAAAGGGCAACGACAAAAGGGACGGGACCCUCAAGAGCCUGAGCAACCGGUACAUCGCAUGCGCACGUCCUCUCUGGCAGUAGGAGGAAGCAUCGACAGCACAGAGCUGUCAAAAGCAAAUUCCCUCCUGCACAAAAUCAGCCCUCAUCGUACCUUAACCAAUCAGAUGAAGUGCCGUGGGAGAGGUGUCAGCGGAGUCCGCGCGACGAACUACACUACACGCUCUCCGUGGGAGAAAUUCAUAAAAAAACUUUUUGACAGCGUCGUUCUCAAAACCUUUUUUUCUUUGUAGUUUUUUUUGUUUGUUUUACG
Anguilla rostrata (American eel) is the source of this 515-nucleotide long non-coding RNA. RefSeq lists it as uncharacterized. The record is from RefSeq and is a predicted model, not a curated record. Lineage: Eukaryota; Metazoa; Chordata; Actinopteri; Anguilliformes; Anguillidae. The transcript is spliced from 3 exons.